This 78-nucleotide transfer RNA is filed under the name Roseisolibacter agri. RNAcentral's name for it is "tRNA-Ala". Lineage: Bacteria; Pseudomonadati; Gemmatimonadota; Gemmatimonadia; Gemmatimonadales; Gemmatimonadaceae. The record is from RNAcentral.
CAAUGGUUCGCGGCCGGCGUAGCCGUACCGCUGCUCGCGCCAGCGGCCGUCCUGUGGGUCGCCACCGUCGCCAUCGCC